GAACGCACAUUGCGCCCCUUGGUAUUCCGGGGGGCAUGCCUGUUCGAGCGUCAUU
RNAcentral lists this ribosomal RNA (55 nucleotides) under salal root associated fungus UBCtra1311C. Its description in RNAcentral is "partial 5.8S ribosomal RNA". It matches the Rfam family "5.8S ribosomal RNA", at positions 102 to 154 of the family's 154-position model. From Rfam's summary of the family: 5.8S ribosomal RNA (5.8S rRNA) is a component of the large subunit of the eukaryotic ribosome. The record is from RNAcentral. Lineage: Eukaryota; Fungi; Ascomycota.